GGUUGUUUCUAUGAGAUCUACACAUUCAGAGAACUUCCAUCCUCACCACAAGAAGGGGACCAUCAUGUCUGCUGAUAACACCAUGAUCUUUCAAGAAAGAGAAGAGGACGUUUUGGAGGCAGUUAUUCCUCAUUUAAAACAAGGAUUAUGUCAUUUCAGAGAUUUGGCAGAAAUGUUAUUGAACUUUGAUGAAGCUCAAAUCAUAACCCUAAAACAUGCAAUUCAGAAAGGGCUGGAUAUGUUUCAGCUAUGCGAAGCUGUAGCUGAUCAACAACUAAGAGAAAUAGACAAGUAUUUUGAGGAACUCACAAAUAAGAUUGGAAUGCUUGAGUCUGAGGAACGUCGUUUAAAACCACAAUUAGACAAUCUGGAGAAUCAAUUGAAAGAAAUCAACGACUCCUUGCAGAAUUACAGUGAUGCCUUAAAGAAAGCUGAGUGUGACGUGAGUUCCUCCAAGAAUGCUCUGGAUGAAUGCAGGUCCAGGGAAACAUACAAUGAAACCAUAAGGAAUGUUGGAAUAGGGGUUAUGUUUAUUCCCUUUCUCGGCCUCAUCGCAGGGUCAGUGAUGAUUGGUGUCGGACAAACAGAGCUAAACAGAGCUACAUUUGAGGCACAGCAAGCAGAAGAGGUAAUGAACAAUUUCCAGAAACAAGUUGAUUCCUUCACCUCAGAGGUAACUGCAAAAAAGCAAGAGAAGAGUGAACUAAAUGAAAUGAUUGAAGAAUGUCAACGUAACAUCUGGAAGACAAAGGAGAGUCUUAAAGAGGUGAAGAGUAAACAGUUACAAAUAUCUGAUUAUCAAGGGAUGUUUAGGAAGGCUGUUCACUUUCUAGGUCUUUUAGCUGGAAAAGCUAGUGUUGCAAUGGUUGAGAGCACUCAAGUCAUCGUCCUUCUGGAACCAGUGUGUAAUGUGAUGGCAGAUAUUGUGAGCCUUUUUAUAAAAACUGAAGCAGAAAAUAAUCUGUUUCUGCAGGACAACGAUUUAAAAACUUCCAUCCAGAGCCUGCAUGAUAUCAAUCAGCGAGUUUCAGCUAUUACUGGAAAACCAGAAAAUCCUUUCUUUUAACACUAGAACUGCCGGGCCUUUCAGACCCCCAGAAUCCACCAGAACCAAACACUGUUUGGUGUCAUUAGCAUACGAAAUACUAUUUGCAUAUACAUUCUCCUCUGCAGCUUCACUAUCCAGACAGGGCACCAGUUCAUCUACUGGGUCAUUAUCAAACUAUAGACAAUAGUCUAAAAAAAUUAUGAUUUACAGGAUCUGUUUAAAGUGGUUAAUGAAUUUGAAGAAUACAAGAACGUGUUUGUCUCAUCAUAUAAAAAAAUAAAUAAUAAAACUAUAUAAAGAACACCGACUACAGUCUUUUUAAAUUAGUUUUAGGCCCUACAAAUGUAGAAAAUGAAAAUUUCACAACCAAUCUAUAGGUGACAUGAAUAAGUUAUUGAAAAACCAAGAAGAGUUAUUAGAAAAAGAUUAGGCCCAUUUCUUCAAAUAAACUGACUAUGUGAACUGUGCAUCUUUCCAGGACUCUGCCAGGGGUUCUGGUUUGGGCUACAAGUUGAUGUUGAAUUGUGGCGUAGUCUAUGUUGUUUGUAUUGUUUCAA
Esox lucius (northern pike) is the source of this 1605-nucleotide long non-coding RNA. The record is from Ensembl. Lineage: Eukaryota; Metazoa; Chordata; Actinopteri; Esociformes; Esocidae.